CCUACGGGAGGCAGCAGUGGGGAAUCUUGCGCAAUGGGCGAAAGCCUGACGCAGCAACGCCGCGUGCGGGAAGAAGGCUCUCGGGUUGUAAACCGCUUUCAGCAGGAACGAAAAUGACGGUACUUGCAGAAGAAGGUGCGGCCAACUACGUGCCAGCAGCCGCGGUGACACGUAGGCACCAAGCGUUGUCAGGAUUUAUUGGGCGUAAAGAGCUCGUAGGCGGUUCGGUAAGUCAGGUGUGAAAACUUUGGGCUCAACCCAAAGCCUGCAUCUGAUACUGCUGUGACUAGAGUUCGGUAGGGGAGCGGGGAAUUCCUAGUGUAGCGGUGAAAUGCGCAGAUAUUAGGAGGAACACCGGUGGCGAAGGCGCCGCUCUGGGCCGAAACUGACGCUGAGGAGCGAGAGCGUGGGUAGCAAACAGGAUUAGAUACCCUGGUAGUCCACGCCGUAAACGUUGGGCACUAGGUGUGGGUUUCAACCAACGAAAUCCGCGCCGUCGCUAACGCAUUAAGUGCCCCGCCGUCGGGAGGUACGGCCGCGAAGGUUAAAACGUAACGAAAGGAAAGUUAGACGGCGUGAGACGUUAGUCCGAAGGACGACGACGAGGGAGAGG
Molecule: ribosomal RNA, 613 nt
Filed under: uncultured bacterium
Lineage: Bacteria
Description: bacterial SSU rRNA
Rfam family: Bacterial small subunit ribosomal RNA (bases 1-521)
Source: RNAcentral